Long non-coding RNA from Pecten maximus, 191 nucleotides. RefSeq lists it as uncharacterized. The record is from RefSeq and is a predicted model, not a curated record. The transcript is spliced from 3 exons. NCBI's taxonomy places the organism in Eukaryota, Metazoa, Mollusca, Bivalvia, Pectinida, Pectinidae.
CUCCCUUUCCUGUACUAUUAUCUGGGUCAGGUAAUUUAUCUCUCUUUCCUGUACUAUUAUCUGGGUCAGGUUAUUUAUCCCCCUUUCCUGUACUAUUAUCUGGGUCAGGUUAUUUAUCUCCCUUUCCUGUACUAUUAUCUGGGUCAGGUUAUUUAUCUCCCUUUCCUGUACUAUUAUCUGGGUCAGGUUAU